This 130-nucleotide non-coding RNA is filed under the name Ditylum brightwellii. The record is from RNAcentral. Lineage: Eukaryota; Bacillariophyta; Thalassiosirophyceae; Lithodesmiales; Lithodesmiaceae.
CUUCUGCAAACAUAACAUAGAAAAAGAGAAAAAAAGAAACAUGGGAAAAGACAAAAAGUUCUGGUAAUACAAAGAACACCUUUUCACCUUCCAUCUCUUCCAUCGGGUCUUCAUUCCUUCUUUCCAAUGC